GACGAACCGUGCGAACGUUAUUCGGAAUCACUGGGCUUAAAGCGCGUGUAGGCGGAUGGGGACGUCGGUUGUUGAAAGCCCCCGGCUCAACCGGGGAAUGGGCACCGAAACGCCCCGUCUCGAGGGACGUAGGGGGACCUGGAACUUCCGGUGGAGCGGUGAAAUGCGUUGAGAUCGGAAGGAACGCCCGUGGCGAAAGCGGCUCUCUGGAACGGUACUGACGCUGAGACGCGAAAGCGUGGGGAGCGAACAGG
RNAcentral lists this ribosomal RNA (254 nucleotides) under uncultured bacterium. Its description in RNAcentral is "partial 16S ribosomal RNA". It matches the Rfam family "Bacterial small subunit ribosomal RNA", at positions 524 to 776 of the family's 1533-position model. The record is from RNAcentral.